RNAcentral lists this ribosomal RNA (467 nucleotides) under uncultured bacterium. RNAcentral's name for it is "partial 16S ribosomal RNA". It matches the Rfam family "Bacterial small subunit ribosomal RNA", at positions 28 to 507 of the family's 1533-position model. The record is from RNAcentral.
GACGAACGCUGGCGGCGUGCUUAACACAUGCAAGUCGAACGGAAAGGCCUAGCUUGCUGGGUACUCGAGUGGCGAACGGGUGAGUAACACGUGGGUGAUCUGCCCCUGACUUUGGGAUAAGCCUGGGAAACUGGGUCUAAUACCGGAUAUUCAUUUUUCCUCGCAUGGGGAUUUGUGGAAAGCUUUUGCGGUUGGGGAUGGGCCCGCGGCCUAUCAGCUUGUUGGUGGGGUAAUGGCCUACCAAGGCGACGACGGGUAGCCGACCUGAGAGGGUGAUCGGCCACACUGGGACUGAGACACGGCCCAGACUCCUACGGGAGGCAGCAGUGGGGAAUAUUGCACAAUGGGCGCAAGCCUGAUGCAGCGACGCCGCGUGAGGGAUGACGGCCUUCAGGUUGUAAACCUCUUUCAGCUCCGACGAAGCGCAAGUGACGGUAGGAGCAGAAGAAGCACCGGCCAACUACGUG